UGGAGAUUGCAUGGCGGUGUGCUCGAUUUUAUAUACCUGUCAGCUACGGAUGUGGCUGAAAUAGCCGAAUCCACUAAUUUGAAGGGGUGUCCACAUACUUUUUUAUAUAUAUAGUGUACUUACUGUACUGAGGGGUAUUUUAACAAAUCUACAGUAUAAUGUGUUUGUAUUGUUACAUAUUUGGUAUAGGUAUAUGUUAUUUUGGCCAUUGACUGGCAGUGUGGAGUUUGAAGAUAAAAUUUGAGAAAAUGUAGCUUGUUGCUGAAUGCACUUUUAUUAUGGGACAUUUCCAUUCAGACACCAAUGUGGGCUACCUAUUUGAGCCCACAGGUGAAAGGGUGCAGCUUGUGGUGAUUCUGUGGAGAUAACCCCCGUUAGAUGGAGAAAGAAAAAAUGCAAGUGAAGUUGGGUACUCCGGCUGGAGUAUAAUUAGAGAUUGAGAAGGCGGGACUUACGAAAUAUGUGUUAGUAGGCAAGCAUGGGCAUCCCUAGUGGGGAUGCUCCAGUUUAGCAAGAGUUUUUGGUCCUCACUUGCUUUGCAUCUUGUGGCGUGUCUAGAAUAUUAUUCCACCACCACAUUUCUGUCUGAUUAUGCACUUGGCGUUGGCCCACAUGCCCAAAGAGGGGUGCACAGUGUGAUCUUUUGACUUUUCCUUUCAUUUUAAUGCCUGCAAAAUGUUACACAUUUGUAUUGCUUGAGAAACGUUGCACACGAUUUUAAGAGGUUGUAUAAUUGUACGGAGUCAGUAUUUUUAUGGUUGAUUUGACAAAACGCUCCACCGAAAAAUGGACAGUUCUAUAAAAAAAAGUACACCGUUCUCGUUUAAGACAAGGUAAAAAUAAAAAGGUCCACUGUUCUUGUUUAAGAUAAGGUAAAAAGGUCUAAAAAAAAGUACACCGUUCUCGUUUAAGAUAAGGCAAAAAGGUAAACAACAACAAAAAGUUGAGGGAUGUUCCAUUUUCCUGUAAAUUGUACCCCUAUUUAUUUGCCUUACUUAGUUUGCUAUAUUUUGUAUGUAUAUGCAGCAUAACAAAAUGUUAUAAUAAAAAUAUAUAAAUAAUUA
This is a long non-coding RNA of Oncorhynchus tshawytscha (Chinook salmon), 1064 nucleotides long. RefSeq lists it as uncharacterized. Lineage: Eukaryota; Metazoa; Chordata; Actinopteri; Salmoniformes; Salmonidae. The record is from RefSeq and is a predicted model, not a curated record. The transcript is spliced from 2 exons.